This is a long non-coding RNA of Zea mays, 238 nucleotides long. RefSeq lists it as uncharacterized. NCBI's taxonomy places the organism in Eukaryota, Viridiplantae, Streptophyta, Magnoliopsida, Poales, Poaceae. The transcript is spliced from 3 exons. The record is from RefSeq and is a predicted model, not a curated record.
CUUUUCUUUACAAUAAAAUGGGGAUAUAACAGCUUUAAGCACAAUGAGAAAUGAGUCCAUCAUUAGUGAGAUCCAAGCCCAGCUAAAGCACAAGAAUGUCACAGUGGAUGUCAAAGCAAAUUCAGACCCUCAUAUUAGUCCUAUUCAGCUCUCAACUAUAGUCACAGUCGAGGAACUUGGUUUACCAGGCUUGAAAAACAUAAUGGCCAUUUCUUAUCCACAUCAAGCAUUUGGGAGG